RNA transcript from Solenopsis invicta (red fire ant), 3309 nucleotides. It is a transcript of the gene named phosphoglucomutase-2, with no coding region annotated. NCBI's taxonomy places the organism in Eukaryota, Metazoa, Arthropoda, Insecta, Hymenoptera, Formicidae. The transcript is spliced from 11 exons. The record is from RefSeq and is a predicted model, not a curated record.
GAAACAUUUACGCUCCACUGCACGUGGUCGUCGUGCGAAAUGGUGCGACAAAAAAAAAAUAAAAGAUUCAAGGCUCCUCUGUCACCAUUUGUGCAAAUAUAUAUAUAUGGUGCGCGAUAAAACCGCGCGCGUCCAUCGAAUACAUCAUUGCUGUGGUAUCUGCACUUAUCGAUGGACGUAUAUUCCCCCCGGUGUCUAUACGGCGGUGGAGACCUUUGAUUAUUUGACGUAGUCGUCCCCGAGAUUGGAGAAAAUUUAGGAGAAAGUGGACCUCGCUGCGAAUAUAGGAGUAGUUAAGGCAUUUCUGCUUAUCCGGAGGAAGUUGCGUUGAUAAACGCAUUGACUGGACUCAUUCAAAAGAAUCUAAUUUACUUGCUUAGAAACACAGCUGGUACCAUGGCUCUCCAUUCUGUAAACACUGGUGACGGUAAUUUGGAUAGUAAAAUCACAGAAUGGCUGCAGUGGAAUAAGGAUCCGAAAGCAGAAGAUGAAAUAUUGGAGUACUUGGACAAGGGACAGAUAAAGGUUUUAUCAAAAUUAUUUCUUAAGAGACUCGAAUUUGGUACUGCAGGUCUCAGAGGUCGUAUGGGACCAGGUUACAGUCAAAUGAAUGACUUAGUCAUUGUGCAAACUGGUCAAGGAUUAACGAAAUAUUUGAUGGAUACUAUAUUUGAUGUUGCCCAGAAAGGCGUCGUAAUAGGAUAUGACGGUCGUUACAAUAGUAAAAGGUUUGCAGAAUUAACUGCUGCAAUCUUCAUAACCAAUGGUAUUAAAGUUUAUUUAUUUUCCAAAAUCUGCCCCACGCCGUUUAUACCUUACACUAUCUUGAGAUAUAAGUGCGCUGCUGGGAUCAUGGUGACUGCUUCCCACAAUCCCAAAGAUGACAAUGGAUACAAGGUUUACUGGGAGAAUGGUGCACAAAUCAUACCACCACAUGAUAAGAAGAUACAAAGCUACAUUCUUGAUAAUCUUGAACCACUCGAAUCUUCAUGGAAUGGAAGCCAAAUUUACGAAAGUUCCUAUUAUAAAGAUCCAAGAGAUGAUAUUAUGCAGCAUUAUUAUCAAGAUUUGAAGGAUAAUGUUCUAUAUCCUGAAGUGAAUAAAAAUACCACAUUAAAAUUUACAUACACUGCCAUGCAUGGUGUUGGAUAUGAGUAUAUGAUUGCCGCGUUUGAGGCAGCAAACUUUAAGCCAUUCAUAGCAGUGGAAGAACAAAAACUACCAGAUCCAGAAUUUUCUACAGUGAAAUUUCCAAAUCCAGAGGAAGGAAAAAGCGCUCUAGAUCUUAGCAUAAAGUUAGCAAAUAGAAGCGACUCGUCUAUAAUACUCGCCAACGAUCCUGACGCUGAUAGACUUGCGUGCGCAACGAAGAAAGAGAGCGGGGAAUGGCAUGUCUUCUCUGGAAAUGAACUAGGCGCGUUACUGGGUUGGUGGAUGACUCAUAUUUAUCAAGUGUUACACCCUGAUGUCGAUAUGAGUGAGACAUAUAUGCUAGCGUCCACUGUUUCUAGCAAAAUCUUAGCUUCAAUGGGUAAGAAAGAAGGUUUUAAUUUCGAGGAAACUUUAACAGGUUUUAAAUGGAUGGGUAACAAAGCUAUAGACUUAAUGAAAGACAAUAAGGAAGUUCUGUUUGCAUAUGAAGAGGCUAUAGGUUUUAUGUGCGGCUCUAAAGUUCUAGACAAGGAUGGUAUCAGCGCUGCCGUACGCGUAGCUGAAUUAGCAGCUUAUCUCGAGACGAUAGGAUUAACUUUAUCUGAUAAAUUGAAAGAAAUAUAUGAAGAAUACGGCCACCAUAUCAGUGAUAAUUCCUAUUGGAUAUGUCAUGAACCGGAUAUCAUUAAGGCGAUAUUUGAACGACUAAGGAAUUAUUCGGGCAAAUCAGAUACAGUCGACAAAUAUAUGUGAUGCAUGAGGUAGCAUAAACUGGCCUACUACUUCGAAAGUGUAAUAAAACUGAUGCGCCAAUGUAUUUCUGCAUGUGUCAUCCUAGGUGACAGUUGUGUCGACAAUGGCGCUUUAUCGCAAUUCUUGUGAUAAAAUAAUAAUAACCAUGUAAACGUAAAGUGGUGUGUAUUGAAAGUUACUCUUAUCAAAGAAUACUUUUCUGUUUGGCAUUUCGUGCGCAGUUUGUUUUCUUACUUAACGAAUUUGUGUUUUAGUGCAUUAAUACGUUUGAUGCAUUCUAACAAUCGAGGAAAAUAAUUUCUAAAAGAUUUUGUUUAAUUACGUUUCCUUCUUUCUUCUCUCUUUGUCUUCUGCUAAUGCUUCUUAAGAUGACAAAAGAUAGUCUGUGCAGCAAGUAUGUAAAUGUGGUAGUUAUAUCAUUGACGCUGCUGCCUUCCGUGCUUCUUGCUGUUUUAUUUAUUCCAGUAGUAUUAUCGUUAUAUCAUCUCACAGGAUUUCUUGAGGAAGAAGCAGAUAUAAGCAUGGCUACCCAAGCGGAAUUCUGAACGGGAAAUAUAUAAUAAGUGGCAUUCGAGACUUAACAACUGGAUAUGACAAUACAAAACCUGAUAAUAAAGCAGUUCUACCUGUAUCAAAAUCUAGCCAAAUGAUCACCUUCACUUUCAAGAAUGGGCUAGUCACUACUUUAAGAACCAGUGGCACGGAACCCAAAAUAAAGUACUACAAUGAAUUGUGUGGAUCGCCCGGAGAAGACUUAAGCAAAUUAAAAAGCACUCUCAGCGAAAUGGUAUCUGCUAUUGUAGCAGAAUUCCUUCAACCGGAAGUGAAUGGACUUAUUGCCCGCGAGGAAUAAAUUAUGAUAAUUGUACUAUUAUGUGCGUACUAAAGAUUUACUCAUUUGAAUAUUUGCAUUAUAUAUUUUACUUUUACGAAUAAUUUGCAGUAAAUUGUCCAAUUCCUAAAUUUAUCGGCGAGCACUAUGUAUAUUUAUUCCAAUUUUACUAAGUUUAUAAUACAUUUACGAUGCAAUUAAUUUUAUUAUAUUAUAAAAUAAUGUUUUUAUUGUAAGCCUACAUACAAUGGAAAAUGGCUGUGUACUUUUAUAUGUUAAUAUUUGUUUUGUUGUUAAAAUUGAGGGAGACUUAGACUAGACUUUUCCUGUUUUUUUAAUUAAUAAAGAUAAUUGUUUGCGAGGCAGAAUGUAAGAAACGCACUUACAUAACGUUCUAUAUUUCUGCGGUUUAAAAAAAUUUAAACAAUGUAAUAUGAGCGAUAAAUUUAUACUAAUUAAAAUUGUCUAACAAUGAAAAAAUUCAUUUACCGAAGAUUAUUAAAAUUAACGACCUAAUAUUAAUGCAGUUGAAAACAUUUAUCAACAGUAAAUAUAAAACACUAAUUGUACAA